Molecule: ribosomal RNA, 243 nt
Filed under: uncultured bacterium
Lineage: Bacteria
Description: partial 16S ribosomal RNA
Rfam family: Bacterial small subunit ribosomal RNA
Source: RNAcentral
CACGUGGGUAACCUGCCUUAUAGUGGGGGAUAGCCUUUCGAAAGGAAGAUUAAUACCGCAUAAGAUUGUAGUAUCGCAUGAUAUAGCAAUUAAAGGAGCAAUCCGCUAUAAGAUGGACCCGCGUCGCAUUAGCUAGUUGGUGAGGUAAUGGCUCACCAAGGCGACGAUGCGUAGCCGACCUGAGAGGGUGAUCGGCCACAUUGGGACUGAGACACGGUCCAGACUCCUACGGGAGGCAGCAUG